Leopardus geoffroyi (Geoffroy's cat) is the source of this 1139-nucleotide long non-coding RNA. RefSeq lists it as uncharacterized. The transcript is spliced from 3 exons. NCBI's taxonomy places the organism in Eukaryota, Metazoa, Chordata, Mammalia, Carnivora, Felidae. The record is from RefSeq and is a predicted model, not a curated record.
GAAGGUACAGAAGUAUCUAGCAUCCUGGGUAGGUGUACCUUAGACAAUGGCCAAGAAUUCUCCUGCUCAAUUUUUCCAGCAGGGAAGCCAGAUCAAAUUUAACUUGGCUUCCAAUUCCACAGGUUUGCCCAACACCCAACACCACCUGAAAGAAACUCCUGGAGGCUGCAUAAAAAGGAAAAAGUCCGGCUCCAAUCAGGGACAUGCCUUGGAGAGCUGAGGAGAUUCCUUAAGCUGUUGUGGCUUCCUCAUGCUUGUUACUUUGGGUGCCCACCAUCAAUUUCCACAGCGGGAUUAGCCUGCACCUAUCUCCAGGACACUGGACUGUCCUGACCUUUCUGUGCUUCUGAGCAAAACCAUGAUGUAGAUUGACAGGAGGGAGUGCACCACCCCCCAACCCAGAACCCAGAAAUAAGGAUCCAGCACCAAAGACCCACCUUCCCCCAUCAGCCACAGAGCAGAGCAUCAAAAUGCUGAGCCCACGUUAACAUCCAACUAGACUAUAUUUCCGGAAUGUUCUCUUCUCAUACUAGUUAGGACAGGUAAGAAGUAACAGGAGGCAAGUAAAGAUGUUGAAGAGAAGAAAGGUCAAAAUCUGACAUUCAGCUGGGAAGAAAUUCCUUCAGGAAUCUCUGUAGAUGCUUGUAUCUGUGCCACACAGUAGAGGGGAGAGCUUCAGGGCCCCAAAGGCCAUUCAGCAGGCAUUAAUAAACUUAGGGGUUCAGACUGAAGAUACAUAGCCCUGCCCUCAAGCAGUUCCCUUUUGGACAGAGGAGCUCAGCAUCAGAAAUGUCCCAGAAGCAGUAUGUUCUCUCUGCAACGUGGAGACUUGGGAGCUGCAGAAAUUCACAUAUGAUCAAGUCAGCAUCUUGCCUUCAAGUCUUGGCCUUUGUUGGUUCAGUAGAAGAAUGGAAAGUGAAGCAGUGCAGUGGAGAUUCACAUGCAUGGAGAAGCCAGAGCUUGGGGGAGAUGCACUUCCUUCUCUACUUAAAGACAAGAAAGGAAAGAAGAAAGGGAGAAAGAGAGAGAGGGAGAAAAGAGUGCAAGAGCAAAAAAUGGUACCCUUUAGAAGUAGACACUGGUGAUGGUUGCCCAACAUUGUGAAUGUAAUUAAUGCCACUGGACUGUACACUUAAAAA